GAUGAACGCUGGCGGCGUGCCUAAUACAUGCAAGUCGAGCGAACGGACGAGAAGCUUGCUUUUCUGAUGUUAGCGGCGGACGGGUGAGUAACACGUGGAUAACCUACCUAUAAGACUGGGAUAACUUCGGGAAACCGGAGCUAAUACCGGAUAAUAUUUUGAACCGCAUGGUUCAAAAGUGAAGGACGGUCUUGCUGUCACUUAUAGAUGGAUCCGCGCUGCAUUAGCUAGUUGGUAAGGUAACGGCUUACCAAGGCAACGAUGCAUAGCCGACCUGAGAGGGUGAUCGGCCACACUGGAACUGAGACACGGUCCAGACUCCUACGGGAGGCAGCAGUAGGGAAUCUUCCGCAAUGGGCGAAAGCCUGACGGAGCAACGCCGCGUGAGUGAUGAAGGUCUUCGGAUCGUAAAACUCUGUUAUUAGGGAAGAACAUAUGUGUAAGUAACUGUGCACAUCUUGACGGUACCUAAUCAGAAAGCCACGGCUAACUACGUGCCAGCAGCUGCGGUAAUACGUAGGUGGCAAGCGUUAUCCGGAAUUAUUGGGCGUAAAGCGCGCGUAGGCGGUUUUUUAAGUCUGAUGUGAAAGCCCACGGCUCAACCGUGGAGGGUCAUUGGAAACUGGAAAACUUGAGUGCAGAAGAGGAAAGUGGAAUUCCAUGUGUAGCGGUGAAAUGCGCAGAGAUAUGGAGGAACACCAGUGGCGAAGGCGACUUUCUGGUCUGUAACUGACGCUGAUGUGCGAAAGCGUGGGGAUCAAACAGGAUUAGAUACCCUGGUAGUCCACGCCGUAAACGAUGAGUGCUAAGUGUUAGGGGGUUUCCGCCCCUUAGUGCUGCAGCUAACGCAUUAAGCACUCCGCCUGGGGAGUACGACCGCAAGGUUGAAACUCAAAGGAAUUGACGGGGACCCGCACAAGCGGUGGAGCAUGUGGUUUAAUUCAAAGCAACGCGAAGAACCUUACCAAAUCUUGACAUCCUUUGACAACUCUAGAGAUAGAGCCUUCCCCUUCGGGGGACAAAGUGACAGGUGGUGCAUGGUUGUCGUCAGCUCGUGUCGUGAGAUGUUGGGUUAAGUCCCGCAACGAGCGCAACCCUUAAGCUUAGUUGCCAUCAUUAAGUUGGGCACUCUAAGUUGACUGCCGGUGACAAACCGGAGGAAGGUGGGGAUGACGUCAAAUCAUCAUGCCCCUUAUGAUUUGGGCUACACACGUGCUACAAUGGACAAUACAAAGGGCAGCGAAACCGCGAGGUCAAGCAAAUCCCAUAAAGUUGUUCUCAGUUCGGAUUGUAGUCUGCAACUCGACUACAUGAAGCUGGAAUCGCUAGUAAUCGUAGAUCAGCAUGCUACGGUGAAUACGUUCCCGGGUCU
RNAcentral lists this ribosomal RNA (1372 nucleotides) under uncultured bacterium. RNAcentral describes it as "bacterial SSU rRNA". It matches the Rfam family "Bacterial small subunit ribosomal RNA", at positions 28 to 1381 of the family's 1533-position model. The record is from RNAcentral.